RNAcentral lists this ribosomal RNA (497 nucleotides) under uncultured bacterium. RNAcentral describes it as "partial 16S ribosomal RNA". It matches the Rfam family "Bacterial small subunit ribosomal RNA", at positions 28 to 507 of the family's 1533-position model. The record is from RNAcentral.
GAUGAACGCUGGCGGCGUGCCUAAUACAUGCAAGUCGAGCGAACAGACGAGGAGCUUGCUCCUCUGACGUUAGCGGCGGACGGGUGAGUAACACGUGGAUAACCUACCUAUAAGACUGGGAUAACUUCGGGAAACCGGAGCUAAUACCGGAUAAUAUAUUGAACCGCAUGGUUCAAUAGUGAAAGACGGUUUUGCUGUCACUUAUAGAUGGAUCCGCGCCGCAUUAGCUAGUUGGGAAGGUAACGGCUUACCAAGGCGACGAUGCGUAGCCGACCUGAGAGGCUGGUCGGCCACACUGGAACUGAGACACGGUCCAGACUCCUACGGGAGGCAGCAGUAGGGAAUCUUCCGCAAUGGGCGAAAGCUUGGCGGAGCAACGCCGCGUGAGUGGUGAAGGUCUUCGGAUCGUAAAACUCUGUUAUUAGGGAAGAACAAAUGUGUAAGUAACUAUGCACGUCUUGACGGUACCUAAUCAGAAAGCCACGGCUAACUACGUG